AACGCACCUUGCGCCCCUUGGCAUUCCGAGGGGCACACCCGUUUGAGUGUCGUGAACAUCCUCAACCUGCUUGGUUUUACCGAACCAAGUAGGCUUGGAAUUUGGAGGUUUUCUGCUGGCCUCCUCCGAAGCCAGCUCCUCUUAAAUGUAUCAGUGGGAUCCGCUUUGCUAGAUCCUCGACGUUGAUAAGAUGUUUCUACGUCUUGGAUUUCGCUCGGGAAGGAACCUGCUUCUAACCGUCCCAUCGGGGACAAUGUUCGAGCCGAUCGCCCUUCACGGGGUGGGAAGCUUUCGACCCAUGAAACCUUGACCUCAAAUCGGGUGAGACUACCCGCUGAACUUAA
Molecule: unclassified non-coding RNA, 344 nt
Filed under: uncultured Russula
Lineage: Eukaryota; Fungi; Basidiomycota; Agaricomycetes; Russulales; Russulaceae
Description: sequence contains ITS2
Source: RNAcentral